RNAcentral lists this ribosomal RNA (247 nucleotides) under uncultured bacterium. RNAcentral describes it as "partial 16S ribosomal RNA". It matches the Rfam family "Bacterial small subunit ribosomal RNA", at positions 99 to 334 of the family's 1533-position model. The record is from RNAcentral.
CGCACGGGUGAGUAACGCGUGGAUAAUCUACCCUUAAGAUGGGGAUAACGGCUGGAAACGGUCGCUAAUACCGAAUACGCUCCCGAUUUUAUCGUUGGGGGGAAAGGUGGCCUCUGCUUGCAAGCUAUCGCUUAAGGAUGAGUCCGCGUCCCAUUAGCUAGUUGGCGGGGUAACGGCCCACCAAGGCGACGAUGGGUAGCCGGUCUGAGAGGAUGACCGGCCACACUGGGACUGAGACACGGCCCAA